Molecule: ribosomal RNA, 497 nt
Filed under: uncultured bacterium
Lineage: Bacteria
Description: partial 16S ribosomal RNA
Rfam family: Bacterial small subunit ribosomal RNA
Source: RNAcentral
GAUGAACGCUGGCGGCGUGCCUAAUACAUGCAAGUCGAGCGACCGCACGAGAUGCUUGCUCCCCUCCUGUUAGCGGCGGACGGGUGAGUAACACGUGGAUAACUGCCCUAUAAUACUGGAAUACCUUCCGGAAACCUUACCUAAUACCGGAUAAUAUUUUGAACCGCAUGGUUCAAAAGCUUUAGAAGCUCUUGCUGUCACUUAUAGAUGUUUCCGCGCUUCAUUAUCUAGUUGCUAAUGUAACGGCUUACCAAGGCAACGAUGCAUAGCCGACCUGAGAGGGUGAACGCGCAGACGGGAUGUGAGACACGGUCCAGAGUCCUAAGGGAGGCAGCAGUAGGGAAUCUUACGCAAUGGGGGAAAGCGGGACGGAGCAACGCCGGGUGAGUGAUGAAGGUCUUCGGAUCGUAAAACUAUGUUAUUAGGGAAGAAGAUAUGUGUAAGUAAAUGUGAGCAACUUGACGGUACCUAAUCAGAAAGCAACGGCUAACUACGUG